This 2906-nucleotide ribosomal RNA is filed under the name Enterobacter hormaechei. Its description in RNAcentral is "23S ribosomal RNA". It matches the Rfam family "Bacterial large subunit ribosomal RNA". Lineage: Bacteria; Pseudomonadati; Pseudomonadota; Gammaproteobacteria; Enterobacterales; Enterobacteriaceae. The record is from RNAcentral.
GGUUAAGCGACUAAGCGUACACGGUGGAUGCCCUGGCAGUCAGAGGCGAUGAAGGACGUGCUAAUCUGCGAAAAGCGCCGGCGAGGUGAUAUGAACCUUUGACCCGGCGAUGUCCGAAUGGGGAAACCCAGUGCAAUCCGUUGCACUAUCGUUAACUGAAUACAUAGGUUAACGAGGCGAACCGGGGGAACUGAAACAUCUAAGUACCCCGAGGAAAAGAAAUCAACCGAGAUUCCCCCAGUAGCGGCGAGCGAACGGGGAGCAGCCCGGAGUCUGAAUCAGCUUGUGUGUUAGUGGAACGGUCUGGAAAGUCCGACGGUACAGGGUGAUAGUCCCGUACACGAAAGCACACAUGCUGUGAACUCGAAGAGUAGGGCGGGACACGUGGUAUCCUGUCUGAAUAUGGGGGGACCAUCCUCCAAGGCUAAAUACUCCUGACUGACCGAUAGUGAACCAGUACCGUGAGGGAAAGGCGAAAAGAACCCCGGCGAGGGGAGUGAAAAAGAACCUGAAACCGUGUACGUACAAGCAGUGGGAGCCUCUUUAUGGGGUGACUGCGUACCUUUUGUAUAAUGGGUCAGCGACUUAUAUUCUGUAGCAAGGUUAACCGUAUAGGGGAGCCGAAGGGAAACCGAGUCUUAACUGGGCGUUAAGUUGCAGGGUAUAGACCCGAAACCCGGUGAUCUAGCCAUGGGCAGGUUGAAGGUUGGGUAACACUAACUGGAGGACCGAACCGACUAAUGUUGAAAAAUUAGCGGAUGACCUGUGGCUGGGGGUGAAAGGCCAAUCAAACCGGGAGAUAGCUGGUUCUCCCCGAAAGCUAUUUAGGUAGCGCCUCGUGAACUCAUCUUCGGGGGUAGAGCACUGUUUCGGCUAGGGGGCCAUCCCGGCUUACCAACCCGAUGCAAACUACGAAUACCGAAGAAUGUUAUCACGGGAGACACACGGCGGGUGCUAACGUCCGUCGUGAAGAGGGAAACAACCCAGACCGCCAGCUAAGGUCCCAAAGUCAUGGUUAAGUGGGAAACGAUGUGGGAAGGCACAGACAGCCAGGAUGUUGGCUUAGAAGCAGCCAUCAUUUAAAGAAAGCGUAAUAGCUCACUGGUCGAGUCGGCCUGCGCGGAAGAUGUAACGGGGCUAAACCAUGCACCGAAGCUGCGGCAGCGACGCUUAUGCGUUGUUGGGUAGGGGAGCGUUCUGUAAGCCGUCGAAGGUGUCCUGUGAGGGGUGCUGGAGGUAUCAGAAGUGCGAAUGCUGACAUAAGUAACGAUAAAGCGGGUGAAAAGCCCGCUCGCCGGAAGACCAAGGGUUCCUGUCCAACGUUAAUCGGGGCAGGGUGAGUCGACCCCUAAGGCGAGGCCGAAAGGCGUAGUCGAUGGGAAACAGGUUAAUAUUCCUGUACUUGGUGUUACUGCGAAGGGGGGACGGAGAAGGCUAUGUCAGCCGGGCGACGGUUGUCCCGGUUUAAGCAUGUAGGCGGAGGUUCCAGGUAAAUCCGGUACCUUGUUAACGCUGAGGUGUGAUGACGAGGCACUACGGUGCUGAAGUGAUAAAUGCCCUGCUUCCAGGAAAAGCCUCUAAGCAUCAGGUAACACGAAAUCGUACCCCAAACCGACACAGGUGGUCAGGUAGAGAAUACCAAGGCGCUUGAGAGAACUCGGGUGAAGGAACUAGGCAAAAUGGUGCCGUAACUUCGGGAGAAGGCACGCUGAUAUGUAGGUGAAGUCCCUGCGGACGGAGCUGAAAUCAGUCGAAGAUACCAGCUGGCUGCAACUGUUUAUUAAAAACACAGCACUGUGCAAACACGAAAGUGGACGUAUACGGUGUGACGCCUGCCCGGUGCCGGAAGGUUAAUUGAUGGGGUUAGCGGCAACGCGAAGCUCUUGAUCGAAGCCCCGGUAAACGGCGGCCGUAACUAUAACGGUCCUAAGGUAGCGAAAUUCCUUGUCGGGUAAGUUCCGACCUGCACGAAUGGCGUAAUGAUGGCCAGGCUGUCUCCACCCGAGACUCAGUGAAAUUGAACUCGCUGUGAAGAUGCAGUGUACCCGCGGCAAGACGGAAAGACCCCGUGAACCUUUACUAUAGCUUGACACUGAACACUGGUCCUUGAUGUGUAGGAUAGGUGGGAGGCUUUGAAGCGUGGACGCCAGUCUGCGUGGAGCCAACCUUGAAAUACCACCCUUUAAUGGCUGGUGUUCUAACGUAGACCCGUAAUCCGGGUUGCGGACAGUGUCUGGUGGGUAGUUUGACUGGGGCGGUCUCCUCCCAAAGAGUAACGGAGGAGCACGAAGGUUGGCUAAUCCUGGUCGGACAUCAGGAGGUUAGUGCAAUGGCAUAAGCCAGCUUGACUGCGAGCGUGACGGCGCGAGCAGGUGCGAAAGCAGGUCAUAGUGAUCCGGUGGUUCUGAAUGGAAGGGCCAUCGCUCAACGGAUAAAAGGUACUCCGGGGAUAACAGGCUGAUACCGCCCAAGAGUUCAUAUCGACGGCGGUGUUUGGCACCUCGAUGUCGGCUCAUCACAUCCUGGGGCUGAAGUAGGUCCCAAGGGUAUGGCUGUUCGCCAUUUAAAGUGGUACGCGAGCUGGGUUUAGAACGUCGUGAGACAGUUCGGUCCCUAUCUGCCGUGGGCGCUGGAGAAUUGAGGGGGGCUGCUCCUAGUACGAGAGGACCGGAGUGGACGCAUCACUGGUGUUCGGGUUGUCAUGCCAAUGGCACUGCCCGGUAGCUAAAUGCGGAAAAGAUAAGUGCUGAAAGCAUCUAAGCACGAAACUUGCCCCGAGAUGAGUUCUCCCUGAGACUUUAAGUCUCCUGAAGGAACGUUGAAGACUACGACGUUGAUAGGUCGGGUGUGUAAGCGCAGCGAUGCGUUGAGCUAACCGAUACUAAUGAACCGUGAGGCUUAACCUU